Molecule: small nucleolar RNA, 103 nt
Organism: Pteropus vampyrus (large flying fox)
Lineage: Eukaryota; Metazoa; Chordata; Mammalia; Chiroptera; Pteropodidae
Source: Ensembl
AUCCUUUGUAGUUCAUCAGCAUGAUGACUGGAUGUUCGUGCUGUUGUGUGAGAUGUGCCUCCCUCAAACCUUGUUAUGACAUCAGCCUAUUACCCAUCCGACA